RNAcentral lists this ribosomal RNA (381 nucleotides) under Triticum aestivum (bread wheat). RNAcentral's name for it is "partial small subunit ribosomal RNA". Lineage: Eukaryota; Viridiplantae; Streptophyta; Magnoliopsida; Poales; Poaceae. The record is from RNAcentral.
AUGUCCGGUGCGGCGGCUGCGCGGUGGGCCCGCGCGGGGUUUUGGCGGGAGAGGCGCGACGGAGAUGGCGGGAGAUCUGCCCUGCCCUGGGCUGGGCGGGCCCUAUACGGCGGUGGGGGAUGUCGGGAUCCGCGGCCACGUGCGGCUCGCGGCGGCGGAACGUGUCCGGCUCGGUCUGACGGUGAGAGGCUUGCGAUGCACGAUUCAUACAGUUCCGUGCUCCUGUGGGGUUCAGUGCUGCAUACACUUGUACCGAUUCCACGGAUGCCGUUGAACUCCCUCCUUCUCAUCAAAAUAUAUCAAUAUAAAGUACCUCCUUCUCAUCAAAAUAUAAAUAUAAAGUGCGCUUCACUUUUUCUUGUCUUUACCGUGCAACUUUGA